GAAGGAUCAUUACUGAUUUGCUUAAUUGCACCACAUGUGUUUUUUAUUGAACAAAUUUCUUUGGUGGCGGGAGCAAUCCUACCGCCAGAGGUUAUAACUAAACCAAACUUUUUAUUUACAGUCAAACUUGAUUUAUUAUUACAAUAGUCAAAACUUUCAACAACGGAUCUCUUGGUUCUCGCAUCGAUGAAGAACGCAGCGAAAUGCGAUACGUAAUAUGAAUUGCAGAUAUUCGUGAAUCAUCGAAUCUUUGAACGCACAUUGCGCCCUUUGGUAUUCCAAAGGGCAUGCCUGUUUGAGCGUCAUUUCUCCCUCAAACCCCCGGGUUUGGUGUUGAGCAAUACGCUAGGUUUGUUUGAAAGAAUUUAACGUGGAAACUUAUUUUAAGCGACUUAGGUUUAUCCAAAAACGCUUAUUUUGCUAGUGGCCACCACAAUUUAUUUCAUAACUUUGACCUCAAAUCAGGUAGGACUACCCGCUGAACUUAAGCAUA
This 493-nucleotide unclassified non-coding RNA is filed under the name Rhodotorula sp. JSKim-2015. RNAcentral describes it as "partial contains 18S rRNA, ITS1, 5.8S rRNA, and ITS2". The stretch from base 152 to 305 matches the Rfam family "5.8S ribosomal RNA". Lineage: Eukaryota; Fungi; Basidiomycota; Microbotryomycetes; Sporidiobolales; Sporidiobolaceae. The record is from RNAcentral.